GAUGAACGCUGGCGGCGUGCCUAAUACAUGCAAGUAGAACGCUGAAGGAGGAGCUUGCUCUUCUGGAUGAGUUGCGAACGGGUGAGUAACGCGUAGGUAACCUGCCUGGUAGCGGGGGAUAACUAUUGGAAACGAUAGCUAAUACCGCAUGACAACAGUUAUUGCAUGAUAACUGUUUAAAAGGGGCAACUGCUCCACUACCAGAUGGACCUGCGUUGUAUUAGCUAGUUGGUGAGGUAACGGCUCACCAAGGCGACGAUACAUAGCCGACCUGAGAGGGUGAGCGGCCACACUGAGACUGAGACACGGCCCAGACUCCUACGGGAGGCAGCAGUAGGGAAUCUUCAGCAAUGGACGGAAGUCUGACCGAGCAACGCCGCGUGAGUGAAGAAGGUUUUCGGAUCGUAAAGCUCUGUUGUAAGAGAAGAACGAGUGUGAGAGUGGAAAGUUCACACUGUGACGGUAUCUUACCAGAAAGAGACGGCUAACUACGUG
Molecule: ribosomal RNA, 495 nt
Filed under: uncultured bacterium
Lineage: Bacteria
Description: partial 16S ribosomal RNA
Rfam family: Bacterial small subunit ribosomal RNA
Source: RNAcentral